This 570-nucleotide long non-coding RNA is filed under the name Nicotiana tabacum (common tobacco). RNAcentral describes it as "long non-coding RNA (NTAB_LNC018476)". The record is from RNAcentral. Lineage: Eukaryota; Viridiplantae; Streptophyta; Magnoliopsida; Solanales; Solanaceae.
UUUUACUAUUAUUUGUGGUUGAAAAUAUAAACAAGGCUUAAACAAAGAAGAUAAAAUUCUGCACUCAGAAAAAGGUAUAUUCUUCUUUUUUUCUUCUUUCUUUUCCCUUAUGUCAAUUCUAAAUCUCUUUCUCAUUGUACAUCCACUAAAACAUUUGCUAUUUUCUUCAUUCUGUUUAGGUUAGGGUUUCAUUUUUUCACUGAGUCUUCUGCAUUCAGUGAUGGGUUAACUUUCUCAACUUUAAGUUUGCCUUCGCUAUAUUGAAAAGUUGAGAUUUUAAACGGAAGGUUUUGGGAACAAUCGCGUCGUGGGACGGAUUGAUUAAACUUAUUUCCCCUAUUUUGUAGUUGAAUUAUAUUGUCCAAUUUUGUGUACCGGAAACACUUUUUGAUGAAUUAGGGUUUUAUUUAUUUGAGGGGUUUUGGAGCUAUGAUCGGAUGUUUUAUUCUGUUAGAAUGUUAUUAUUGUACGCAAUAGUAAAUUCUGGGUGGAUUUAGGAGUUAGGUAACAGGUGUAUAUGUAUGGGAAUGGCUGCAGAGUCUUCUAAUACAGGGUUUCAUCACCAAGCUU